GAAUUCGAUUCAUUUAUAAUAUAGUCCUUGGGUACAGUAUAAAAAUUAUAUAUGUAUUUUUGCAAUAUAAUUUCCAUGAAAUUAGGAGGUAAGAUUUUAUUUAUAGUGAAAUUAGACGUAAUAAAGUAAAUAUUAUGAGAUAGGCGCAAGCUCGAGACACAAGUUCUGGCGCAAGCUCUGGCACCUCGAGUUUGCACCUCUCUAAUAUUUUACUAUAGUUAUUAUUUAGUGCUGCUGUGCUUAAAAUAUUUAGCGCAAGCUAAAUCUAAGCCUGAAGUAUGCUACGCUUAAAUUAUUUUAAGUGUAAGCUUUUUAAUAAUAAAAAUGUUUGUUACUUAUAAAGCUUAAUGGCUUAAUCUUGCCUUACUGUUUGAUUAACAACAAAUCUUACAGUCGCGUAAGCGGGGCAUAGGAUCACAAGAUACAAAAAGGAGAGAUCUUGGAUUAUUGGAAAAGCUACGCUAGGGAU
RNAcentral lists this ribosomal RNA (469 nucleotides) under Podospora anserina. RNAcentral describes it as "partial rRNA". The record is from RNAcentral. Lineage: Eukaryota; Fungi; Ascomycota; Sordariomycetes; Sordariales; Podosporaceae.